This 270-nucleotide unclassified non-coding RNA is filed under the name Exophiala sp. Its description in RNAcentral is "partial internal transcribed spacer region". The stretch from base 1 to 46 matches the Rfam family "Eukaryotic small subunit ribosomal RNA", at positions 1786 to 1831 of the family's 1831-position model. The record is from RNAcentral. Lineage: Eukaryota; Fungi; Ascomycota; Eurotiomycetes; Chaetothyriales; Herpotrichiellaceae.
AAGUCGUAACAAGGUCUCCGUAGGUGAACCUGCGGAGGGAUCAUUACCGAGUUAGGGUCCUUUUGGGCCCGACCUCCCAACCCUUUGUUUACUUGACCCACGUUGCUUCGGCGAGCCCGUCCCUUCCCGGGACCGCUGGAGGGCCUCUUUUGGCCUUCUGGUCCGCGCUCGUCGAUGGCCAACCUUAUUAAACUCUUAAUUAAACGUGUCUUAUCUGAGUACCAAUUUUUAAUUAAAGCAAAACUUUCAACAACGGAUCUCUUGGUUCUG